This is a long non-coding RNA of Ornithodoros turicata, 828 nucleotides long. RefSeq lists it as uncharacterized. The record is from RefSeq and is a predicted model, not a curated record. The transcript is spliced from 8 exons. NCBI's taxonomy places the organism in Eukaryota, Metazoa, Arthropoda, Arachnida, Ixodida, Argasidae.
GCUGGAAUGACGUGCCUCUAACUGGAACUUAGUGUGAGUGAGACAAAAAGCCCCUCCAUCCAUGAGAAUGAGCUGACUGCUGGAAUGACGUGCCUCUAACUGGAACUUAGCCUGAGUGAGAAAAAAAGCCCCUCCAUCCAUGAGAAUGAGCUGACUGCUGGAAUGACGUGCCUCUAACUGGAACUUAGCCUGAUUGAGAAAAAAAGCCCCUCCAUCCAUGAGAAUGAGCUGACUGCUGGAAUGACGUGCCUCUAACUGGAACUUAGCCUGAUUGAGAAAAAAAGCCCCUCCAUCCAUGAGAAUGAGCUGACUGCUGGAAUGACGUGCCUCUAACUGGAACUUAGCCUGAGUGAGACAAAAAGCCCCUCCAUCCAUGAGAAUGAGCUGACUCCUGGAAUGACGUGCCUCUAACUGGAACUUAGCCUGAGUGAGACAAAAAGCCCCUCCAUCCAUGAGAAUGAGCUGACUGCUGCCGUGACAUGUGCCUCUAACUGGAACUUAGCCUGAGUGAGACAAAAAGCCCUCCAACCAUGAGAAUGAGCUGACCACUCCCAUGACGCAAGCUUUAGCAGUCAAAUGAAGCCUACUUGCAAAUACUUGAUUGCCCACAAUGACCUGCCUUCGUUUCAAAUAUAAGAGGGAAGUACCAAUAACUACACACACAGUGCAGUAGGCUCAUACUGUAUAUGGAUGUGUACAUUCUAACAUGCCUUGUUAAGUAAUUUGUUUGGCGGCAGAUGCAGUCACAUGUAGAUGCAGUUGUUUGGACCGAACAGGUACAACCUGUUAGUUUAGUUAGUACUUGUUAGUUUGAGUGACUGAGCCUGA